Molecule: ribosomal RNA, 966 nt
Filed under: Microbacterium sp.
Lineage: Bacteria; Bacillati; Actinomycetota; Actinomycetes; Micrococcales; Microbacteriaceae
Description: bacterial SSU rRNA
Rfam family: Bacterial small subunit ribosomal RNA
Source: RNAcentral
UACGUGCCAGCAGCCGCGGUAAUACGUAGGGCGCAAGCGUUAUCCGGAAUUAUUGGGCGUAAAGAGCUCGUAGGCGGUUUGUCGCGUCUGCUGUGAAAACCCGAGGCUCAACCUCGGGCCUGCAGUGGGUACGGGCAGACUAGAGUGCGGUAGGGGAGAUUGGAAUUCCUGGUGUAGCGGUGGAAUGCGCAGAUAUCAGGAGGAACACCGAUGGCGAAGGCAGAUCUCUGGGCCGUAACUGACGCUGAGGAGCGAAAGGGUGGGGAGCAAACAGGCUUAGAUACCCUGGUAGUCCACCCCGUAAACGUUGGGAACUAGUUGUGGGGUCCAUUCCACGGAUUCCGUGACGCAGCUAACGCAUUAAGUUCCCCGCCUGGGGAGUACGGCCGCAAGGCUAAAACUCAAAGGAAUUGACGGGGACCCGCACAAGCGGCGGAGCAUGCGGAUUAAUUCGAUGCAACGCGAAGAACCUUACCAAGGCUUGACAUAUACGAGAACGGGCCAGAAAUGGUCAACUCUUUGGACACUCGUAAACAGGUGGUGCAUGGUUGUCGUCAGCUCGUGUCGUGAGAUGUUGGGUUAAGUCCCGCAACGAGCGCAACCCUCGUUCUAUGUUGCCAGCACGUAAUGGUGGGAACUCAUGGGAUACUGCCGGGGUCAACUCGGAGGAAGGUGGGGAUGACGUCAAAUCAUCAUGCCCCUUAUGUCUUGGGCUUCACGCAUGCUACAAUGGCCGGUACAAAGGGCUGCAAUACCGCAAGGUGGAGCGAAUCCCAAAAAGCCGGUCCCAGUUCGGAUUGAGGUCUGCAACUCGACCUCAUGAAGUCGGAGUCGCUAGUAAUCGCAGAUCAGCAACGCUGCGGUGAAUACGUUCCCGGGUCUUGUACACACCGCCCGUCAAGUCAUGAAAGUCGGUAACACCUGAAGCCGGUUGCCCAACCCUUGUGGAGGGAGCCGUCGAAGGUG